RNAcentral lists this long non-coding RNA (1995 nucleotides) under Nicotiana tabacum (common tobacco). Its description in RNAcentral is "long non-coding RNA (NTAB_LNC013626)". Lineage: Eukaryota; Viridiplantae; Streptophyta; Magnoliopsida; Solanales; Solanaceae. The record is from RNAcentral.
GCACUAUUUAAAAAGGAAAAGAAAUAUAAUGCAGUAAAGUUUUCCUAUAUAAAGGCAAAGAGAGUUCUUGAGUUCUAAGUUCUAACCAUCAACCUCUUCAUUCAAGAUUUGGUUCAGUUCUAAUAACACUUCUUAUAUUUGCAACAUAGUUGUUGGUGGUGCAAUGGGAGACGCCGAGCCGACUAUCUCUCUUCUUCUUCUUCUUCUUUUUUCUCUCUUUCUUUCUCUUUAUUUUUUUAGGAAAUAAUUUUUUAAAGUUGAAGUUGUUUGAAAUAUAAUUUUUAAAAAUUGAAGUUGUAUUUAGACAUAUAUUUUAUUUGAAGAAAAAUUAAAGUUUUGUAAGUGAAAAAAAACUUUCGACCAAAAAUUGAUUUAACUGCCCUAAAUCUGUUUUUGGCAACAAGAAAAUUUUUGAAUUUUUUUUUCCUAAAAGAUGAUCAUAUUUCAUAAUCAAACAUUGUUUUUCAAAUUCUUUUGAAAAAAUGAAGCCAAUGACCCAUCGGGGGUUUAAGGUUAAGUUAUGACUAAUUUCAUUUCCUUAAUAUGAUAUUAGAGUAGGAAUCAUUUUUUAUUUAUUCAUGCUCCAGUUUACUAGAGCUGGAGAUGAGAGAGCUGUUAGAUUGUCCCAUAUAGGUUGACGGAAUGAGCCGUUGUUUAAAUUGUAUGAUUUUGGACAAUUUUCACCUAAUUUUUUGAGGUUGAGUUAUUUCCAAAAUAGCCCGGCGUCGUCAUUGCACCACUGAUAGCCAUAAGUUGCCUUCUCAUUUUGAUCUCCAAGACAUGCUAAUUAGGUUUGGAGAAUAAUCUUGAAAAAUAAAUAAUAAUCUUACUUAUUUUUCGGUAUUUGAUAUGCAAAUUAAAUAAAAUAACUUCUCAAUAGUCUUCGUAAAAUAUAUGUACUUCUUUUAUUUCAUUAUUAUUUGGUACAUCUAAACUAACAUCAUUCUUUUUUUUUUUUUUUUUUGCUUGUUUUGUGUUUUCUUGGGCAGAGAAACUUUGAAUGGCUUACCAAAUAUCAAGAAAUACACAUGUUGGAAGUACAAGACUGAUAUUGUUGGAGGACUAUAUGUUUGAGAAAUAUUUUUGCAGGAACCAAAACAUAUAGUAUAGUGUUUCAAUUUUUUUUUUCUUUACUGUGUUUACAGAAUUUGAUUUUUUCAGAUAUCAAAAAAUAAUUAACUUUUUUUUAGGAGUUGCCUCGGAGUAAAGAGUCUUGGAGUAUUCAAUGAACAAAUCAAAGAGAUAGUUAAAGUUAACAUAGUCAAUUUUUAAUGUUAAUUAAUGUUAAAAGAUGAAUUUCUUAAUAUGUACGAGAAUAACUAAAAAAAUAAUUAAAGUAGACACGGAUGAGUAUUGUAUUUAGGGAAUUUUUUGUGUCCCCAUUAUUUUUCUUUUGUUAAUUUUGCUCUUCUAUCAUUUUGGCUUUUUUCUUUGUCUAGUGGAUUUCACUUUAUGUGGAUGGAAGAAAUGCAUCCAAAAGUAGUCACAAAAGGAUGGUGUUUAAUUUUUCCCUCCUUUUUAUCUUUUAGUAUUCUUCUUUGGCCUAUGGGUUUCACUUUGUGUGAUUGAAAAAUAGGCAAGCAAAAUACGAGUGAUGUCUCAUUUUUUAUUUUUAUUUUCGGAUUGUUUAAUCGACUUUCUUUUCUUUCUGAUUUGAAGAGAAAGAAAGUGAAAACAGGAUUUUGCAAAAAAACAGAUAAUAAUUACUUAAUUAGUGGUCAUUAUCACAUGUAGGCAACAUAAUACUUAAAGGAUAAUAAAUAUAAAUGCACCUAAUGAAUUGAGAUCCAAAUAAUUUAUUAAAUGGAAACACACAAGCCUUACUUAAAUAGUACCCCAUUUUCACUACAAACAUAAAUUAGAGGUAUGACGCAUAUAACACACAGAUAGAAUUCUAGAAAAAUACAAGACUGCGCCAAAAAGGUUAAGAAAACAAGGCCAUGGCCCAUGAGGUCCCCUAUGGUUUGCCUUAUUAAAAAGGGACGCUAUCAAAAN